GACGAACGCUGGCGGCGUGCCUAAUACAUGCAAGUCGAACGAGAGCGACCGGUGCUUGCACUGGUCAAUCUAGUGGCGAACGGGUGAGUAACACGUGGGUAACCUGCCCAUCAGAGGGGGAUAACAUCCGGAAACGGAUGCUAAAACCGCAUAGGUCUUCGAGCCGCAUGGCUUGAAGAGGAAAAGAGGCGCAAGCUUCUGCUGAUGGAUGGACCCGCGGUGCAUUAGCUAGUUGGUGAGGUAACGGCUCACCAAGGCCGUGAUGCAUAGCCGACCUGAGAGGGUGAUCGGCCACAUUGGGACUGAGACACGGCCCGAACUCCUACGGGAGGCAGCAGUAGGGAAUCUUCCGCAAUGGACGCAAGUCUGACGGAGCAACGCCGCGUGAGUGAAGAAGGUUUUCGGAUCGUAAAACUCUGUUGUUAGAGAAGAACAAGUGCUAGAGUAACUGUUAGCGCCUUGACGGUAUCUAACCAGAAAGCCACGGCUAACUACGUG
This 498-nucleotide ribosomal RNA is filed under the name uncultured bacterium. RNAcentral's name for it is "partial 16S ribosomal RNA". It matches the Rfam family "Bacterial small subunit ribosomal RNA", at positions 28 to 507 of the family's 1533-position model. The record is from RNAcentral.